Molecule: long non-coding RNA, 4072 nt
Organism: Hemicordylus capensis (graceful crag lizard)
Lineage: Eukaryota; Metazoa; Chordata; Lepidosauria; Squamata; Cordylidae
Exons: 2
Source: RefSeq, a predicted model, not a curated record
AGAAGCCUUACCAUCCUGGUCGUCGGGGCUGCUAGGGAGGGGGCAGCCCGGCUCCUGAGAGGGUAGGGGGUCCUCGAAGGCGCUCUACACCCAGGGCGCGCGCGUGUGCACGCACGUGGUAAGCCCCCUGCGGUUUCCUGAGCUCCAGGACCGGGUAACCAGCGCAGUGCUUGCCUGCCUGCAGAGUGCAUCACCAAAGUACCAGAGGACAGGAUCUCUGCCCCUUGGAGCUUACAGUCUACCAUGCAACUCCACAAUAUUUCAUUCUCUUACAGAGUCCCUUUCCACAAUCCAUUGUUUAACAGGCAAAUAGCAAUGAAGAAGCUGCAGCUAUGGAAGCAAAGGACCAGACUCAACACUGCUGUCAGUUACAUGGACUGUGGUCAUUAAAGACCAGCUUGUCACUGUGGUUCUGUGGAGGUGAUCUUUCUCUUUGAUUUUUGUUAUCUUCCGGCAUUUUUGAACUGGAAUUGUGAACUUUGAAAGCACGUUGGAUUGUGAUCCAAACCAGAGGCAAACUUUGGGGAGGAACAGUGCUCAUUGUACCAGCAGCCAGAAAUUAAGGGAAUGGAGCUAUAAUUCAGUGGUAGAGCAUCUGAAUCAUCCCAAGUUCAGUCCCUGGCAGCAUCUCCAAAUAGGACUGGGAAGGACCCUGUCUGAAACCUUGGAGAGCUGCUGCCAGUCGGUGCAGGCAAUACUGACUCUGGAAAGAUCCUGCCAGUCAGUGCAGACAAUACUCAGGUAGAUGGAUCAAUGGUCUGACAGCAGAAGGCAUCUUCCUGUGUUCCUAAGGAGCACUGAUAACUCUUGCAGAUGGUCCCAGGUUCAAUCCCUGGCCUCUCUGGAUAGGGUGGGGAAAACCUUCCUGAAAGACGCUGCCAGUCCGAGCAGAUAAUGCUGAGCUAGAUGGACCAAUGGUCUGACUCAGUAGACAGCAGCUUCCUCUAAUCCUAGGCCAUCCUAUUCCGAGACAGGAUAUUACAAGAUGCAGCAGUACUGCUGGUAUAGCAGGACAGAUCUUGCGGGGUGGGGAGAUGGGUGGGCUUUCCUUUAGAGCAUACCCUAAAAUCACAAGUUCAAAAUGGAACCUUGAUCGCUGAAUCUGAUAGAGUCAUUUCCUUCCCUUCCACAUCUGAGAAAAAAUCUGAAAUAGAAUGACCUUUCUUUCUUUCUUUCUUUCUUUCUUUCUUUCUUUCUUUCUUUCUUUCUUUCUUUCUCUCCGCCCCCACCACCUGCCUUAUAGUGUGGAGAAUAAUUUUAAGACACAACGUUGCCUGGUGGAAGUAAGAAAUGGAUGCCCCAUAUAUAAUAGAUGCCCCCGACGCCCCAUUAACAAACGUGGGAAGAUUUCUCAAAUGGAAGAAACUGGCAUGCGUGCUGGAGUGCUAAUGUGCCCCCCUGGAUGUGCUAUUACUGAGAUGGUCUUUAGUGUUAGUAAUAUUUUUUAUAAACCUCACGUUUCAAUAAGAUCUGGCAGCUGUAGGAGCACCAUCACUUCCCAAGAAAGCAUCUAAUUGCGGCUUAGUAGCCAGGAAGCUUCACUCGGUAUAUUGCACAUAUUCGGAGGGGGGUUUUGUGUGUGUGUGGUGUGUGAGUGUAGACGGUGACAAGCUUUGUUCCCCUUGCCUCAUAGGGACUAGUUGCUUUUCCUGAGCUCGCAAUGAAUGGGUGUUCUUACUGUUUCCUCUUCCUUUCCAUGGAUAGUGCUCAAGCCCAUCGUUCUGCAAGACGAGGAGGAGGAGAGCUGGUCUUGUGAUAGCAAGCAUGACCUGUCCCCUUUGCUAAGCAGGACCUACCCUGGUUUGUGUUUGGAUGGGAAACUACAUGUGUGAGCUCUGUAAGAUCUUCCCAAUGGGGGCGGGGCCACUCUGGGAAGAGCAGAAGAGCAUCUUGGUUCACGUAGGACCGAGCCCUGUGACUCCUGUGAGGCUGGAAUGUUUCCAUCCGUGGAAAACCCCAAACAGGGGAAGCGGGGAUAGUCCAGCCCACUUUCCCUCCAAGGCCCUUUUGCCGGACAAUGCAGCAUGCGAGGAAAUUGGAGGCAAAGCCUAUAAAGGCGCCACUUAUUACAGCUGAUAAUUGCUUUCAGCCGUUAACAUGUGUUUGCAUUUUUUCCUGCCGCUCUCCUUCCGAGCAGAACGUGCUGCGGCCGAGAGGAAAAGUUUCGCCUGGGCCGCAGCCCAAAGACCCCCAAAGGGCAGCCUGGCAUCAUAACCUUUAUGUAACACAAGGCUUUUCUGGCAGGAAGAGAAGCCUGCAGUGAGUUGUUUUUAAAUUAUUUUCUUGCCCAGACAGAAUCCACGCGCUUCUCACUUGAACAGUUGCCUAGAAAGCCCCAUUAUGAACCAGCCCCGAGCUGGAGAACAUGGCUCCCAAACAAGUGGGGUUGCCAUAGUCUUCUCAAGCGAGGCCUCUGUGCUGUGAAUGGUCAUGAGACAGAAAUUCCAGAAGCAAAAAUGCUGCCUUGGGAGCCUUUCCAUGCAGGGAAACAUUUCACCUGUCGAAUUUCAGCAUGCGAAACAUACAAGGCCGUGUGUUGGCAAGCUUAGGAACAUAGGAAGCUGCCCUAUACUGAGUCCGACCAUUGGUCUAUCUGGCUCAGUAUUGUCUUCACAGACUGGCAGCGGCUUCUCCAAGGCUGCAGGCAGGAGUCUUGCUCAGCCCUAUCUUGGAGUGUGAGCCCUGUAAGAUAUUCCCAUUAGGUGAUGGAGUUGCUCAGGGAAGAGCAUCUAGGUUCCAAGUCCCCUCCCUGGCAGCAUCUCCAAGAGAGGGCUGAGAGAGACUCCUGCCUGCAAGCUUGGAGAAGCUGCUGCCAGUCUGGGUAGACAAUGCUGAGCUAGAUGGACCAAGGGUCUGACUCAGUAUAUGGCGGCUUCCUAUGUUCCUAGGGACCUUUCUGGAGCAUCAAGGGCAUCCUGAUUUAGAAGCUGUUUGGGUUCCUAUGUCUACCUCCCCAGUAAGGCCUUCAGUGCUCAGCCAGAUCUCUGAGAAGGCUGCCCUCAUAGAAGAGUUUGGACCUCAUCUGGCUGAGAUUUCCAUAAUCUCCAAAUCAACAGUCCUGUGCUUGCUCAUGCCGCGGCUUGACGCCUAUACAUCAGCCAGACAUCGAAGGAGCUGAAUCGGUGUGUAAACAAACACCCUGGCCAAUUCAAUUCGUGCGGGGAAAGGCCAUCAUAAAUAUUCAGGCCAACGUAAAUUGUUUUCCCCUCUUAAAUAUUGGGAACGUGUGGCAGCCAUUUCUCUCUCUUAAUGGACCCAUUAGCAAUUGAUCGGAGGCUGCGUUGUCAGUCUCCGGUGAAGAGCAGCACUUCGGAGCCUGCUGUGGGCAGCUAACGGCCUCUCCGGCCUCCAUUUUGAAUCGACGUGCUCUCGAUUCGCAGUGUCCUGGUCUGAAGAGGGAAUCCCUGCCCUCUCGACUCUGGACAUAAAUUGUUUGGCUGUCGGUUUGGAACCAACCAAAGCUGGCAAGAUCUCUUUGCAUAAUGCACGACUAAGCUAUGGAACUCACUGCCACAUGAUCUGGGGAUGGCUGGUAGCCACGAUCUCUUAGGGAAAUGGUUAGAUCUUUUCACAGAGGGAGAAAAUCAUCAACAAGGGCUAUUAGCAUAUGAGAUAAUAUUGGAUCUAUGUAUAUAUUACUAUUAUAUCAUAUGUGUAUUAUUAUGUAUGCUUUAAAUUUUGGUCUAUGACCGCAAAUAAACAUGACUGACUGACUGGCUAUUAGCAUAAUAGCUAGAUGGAGCUCAGUUUGGUCUACUCUGGCUGGCAGAAGCUCUCCAGGGCCUCAAGGAAAGGUCUGCACCGAUUGGCAGCAGCCCUGCAAGGUCUCAGCCAUUGCCUCUUUCCUAGUUCUGCUACACAAGGUCAUUUAACUAGAUAUGUCAGCGAUUAAAUCUGGGACCUUCCACAUGGAAAGUAUAUGUCUACCACUGAAUAUGACCUAGAAUGCUAGUAGAAAGAGCCAUUUUUAUUCUAUGUUUUUUAACUUUAGUAAACCGCCUUGGGAUUGUUUUUAAUGACAGGCGGUAUAUAAACUUAACAAUCAAAUAAAUAAAUAAAAAUAUAAAUUGCA